This 511-nucleotide ribosomal RNA is filed under the name uncultured bacterium. RNAcentral's name for it is "partial 16S ribosomal RNA". It matches the Rfam family "Bacterial small subunit ribosomal RNA", at positions 28 to 523 of the family's 1533-position model. The record is from RNAcentral.
GAUGAACGCUAGCGGCAGGCCUAACACAUGCAAGUCGAGGGGUAACUAGAGUGAUAGCAAUAUUACUUUGGCUAGACCGGCGCACGGGUGCGUAACACGUAUGCAACCUACCUUAUACUGGGGAAUAACUUCGAGAAAUCGGCGCUAAUACCCCAUAACACUGCGGAGAGGCAUCUCUUUGCAGUUAAAGCUCCGGCGGUAUAAGAUGGGCAUGCGUCCAAUUAGCUAGUUGGUGAGGUAACGGCUCACCAAGGCUACGAUUGGUAGGGGUUCUGAGAGGAUGAUCCCCCACACUGGUACUGAGACACGGACCAGACUCCUACGGGAGGCAGCAGUGAGGAAUAUUGCGCAAUGGGGGGAACCCUGAUCCAGCAAUGCCGCGUGUGUGAAGAAGGCCUGAGGGUUGUAAAGCACUUUCAGUGGGGAGGAGGGUUGAUUGGUUAAGAGCUGAUUGAUUGGACGUUACCCACAGAAGAAGCACCGGCUAACUCCGUGCCAGCAGCCGCCGUAA